AUGUCCAUUGAAGGCCUGGUGUUAAUUUUGUGUGAAAUACGCCACAAAAUAUUGAUUCCUUUCACCAGUUCAUCUGCCAGGCUGUUAGCAGGAAAAACUGCUUCCCUCCAGAAAUGGUUUGAAAGCAAAAUGAGAAUGAAGCACUUUACAGAAAAAACAAUGUGACAGUUGAAGUUCCAGGAAAAAUUUCUUGUUUAAAUCAAACAAAAUAAAAAAAGGUUUAAAUCAAACA
Molecule: long non-coding RNA, 232 nt
Filed under: Chloebia gouldiae (Gouldian finch)
Lineage: Eukaryota; Metazoa; Chordata; Aves; Passeriformes; Passeridae
Description: Erythrura gouldiae (Gouldian finch) lncRNA (ENSEGOG00005001381.1)
Source: RNAcentral